AGGAAAAGAAACCAACAGGGAUUGCCCCAGUAGCGGCGAGUGAAGCGGCAAAAGCUCCAUUUUGAAAGCGCCUCGGCGCGUUGUAGAACGGUUUGGACUAAGGCGUGGGCGGCAGCUAAGUCCCCUGGAACGGGGCGCCACAGAGGGUGAGAGCCCCGUGCGCUGCCUGAAGCGCUGUAGUCUCUGCCACGGAGUCGAGUUGUUUGGGAAUGCAGCUCCAAGUGGGUGGUAAAUUCCAUCUAAGGCUAAAUACUGGCGAGAGACCGAUAGCGAACAAGUACAGUGAUGGAAAGAUGAAAAGCACUUUGAAAAGAGAGUGAAACAGUACGUGAAAUUGUUGAAAGGGAAGGGUAUUUGGCCCGACAUGGGUCCUGUGCACCGUUGCCUCUCGUGGGCGGCGCUCUGCUGGGGCCUGGGCCAGCGUCAGUUUUGGUGGGAGGAGAAAGGUUGGGUGACCCACACUGUGGCGAGCCUUAUUGGAUACUCCCUACCGGGACUGAGGACUGCCGUUGUAGGACGCUGGCACAACGGCCAAAUACCGCCCG
Molecule: ribosomal RNA, 545 nt
Filed under: Saturnispora bothae
Lineage: Eukaryota; Fungi; Ascomycota; Pichiomycetes; Pichiales; Pichiaceae
Description: eukaryotic LSU rRNA
Rfam family: Eukaryotic large subunit ribosomal RNA
Source: RNAcentral